GCCGCGAUAGUGCAAUAGGUUAGCACUCGCCCUGGAAAGGAUGAGACGUGGGUUCGAUCCCUCUUGAGGUU
Molecule: non-coding RNA, 71 nt
Organism: Parelaphostrongylus tenuis
Lineage: Eukaryota; Metazoa; Nematoda; Chromadorea; Rhabditida; Metastrongylidae
Source: the annotation of a GenBank genome assembly